This is a non-coding RNA of Acanthosepion pharaonis, 112 nucleotides long. The record is from the annotation of a GenBank genome assembly. Lineage: Eukaryota; Metazoa; Mollusca; Cephalopoda; Sepiida; Sepiidae.
AGGGCAAUAUCACGUUGAAACAUCAUAUUCCGGUGUGAUCGCCGAAGUUAAGCAACAUCUAGCCUGGUCAGUACUUAGAUGGGUGACAUCUUGGGAAUAUCAGUUGCUGUAA